UUCUUGAGCUUUUAGUGUUCGCGGCCGGUUUUAUAAUCACAAUUUUUACCUCUUUAAGUUGUUUUGGUUUUUAAAUAAUUAAAUAUGGCUCUGUUAUUACAACGUGCUGCGAAACUUAUCAGUCGUAAUGUGCUGCCACUUACAACAACCAGUAAAUGUCGCUACUCCGUUGAAGCCGACCCUAUCUUAGGCGACGGCACUGAAGUUCUUGUCGAACGUCUGGAGGGCCCGCAAAAAGGCAUAACUGUGUUAGGUCUCAACAGGCCGGCUGCAAAGAAUUCAUUCAGUCGUGGGCUCGUGAACACCUUCAGUGAUAUCCUGCAAGAUAUUAAGCGUGACAAUGGGUCGCGUGUGGUUGUGUUGCGCAGUCUCACACCAGGGAUAUUUUGUGCUGGCGCAGAUUUAAAAGAACGUAAAGGCAUGACAACUGAAGAGACAAGCGAAUUCGUGACACAACUGCGAGGUUUGCUUAUCAGCCUUGAACAACUACCAAUGCCUGUGAUUGCAGCUCUCGAUGGAGCUGCUUUGGGAGGUGGUCUUGAAAUGGCCCUUGCUUGUGAUAUUCGCACAGCUGCCAACAAUGCGAAAAUGGGUCUGGUGGAAACGCGCCUCGCCAUCAUACCAGGAGCAGGUGGCACUCAGCGAUUGCCACGUAUUCUCUCCCCAGCACUUGCAAAGGAAUUGAUUUUUACAGCACGUGUGUUUGAUGGUGCCGAAGCCAAAGAACUGGGUCUAGUCAAUCAUGUGGUGCAACAAAACGAAGCCAAAGAUGCCGCCUAUCAGCGGGCCUUAAAACUUGCCGAGGAGAUCCUGCCGAAUGGUCCAGUGGGUGUCCGCAUGGCCAAGUUGGCGGUAGAUAAAGGCAUGCAAGUGGAUCUCAAUACUGGCUAUUCUAUCGAGGAAGUCUGCUAUGCCCAGGUUAUACCCACUAAAGAUCGUCUGGAGGGUCUCGCUGCUUUCGCUGAGAAGCGUAAGCCUGUCUAUAAGGGCGAAUAAACAUAAUUUCCUUGUUCAAUCAUGCGAUCGAAAAUCAAGCUGUCAACAGUCAUUGUUAUAUGUUCAUCAAUUAAAACCCCGUUGAGUUCUCCUCGUGAUUUGGUUUCUCAUCUGGUAUCGGAACAAACAUAUAAUAUAAGCCACCUCCAACUAUGCGGAAACACAAAUACUCAUAGAACUCUUGUCAGAUGUGUUUAGAAAGCUCUCAUUCACGAGAUACUUGGAUAUAACUAUCUACAUAUGUGUGUCUAGCAUUCCUUACCCACUGAUUUAUGCUGUUGAAAAC
RNA transcript from Drosophila albomicans, 1282 nucleotides. It is a transcript of the gene named methylglutaconyl-CoA hydratase, mitochondrial, with no coding region annotated. NCBI's taxonomy places the organism in Eukaryota, Metazoa, Arthropoda, Insecta, Diptera, Drosophilidae. The record is from RefSeq and is a predicted model, not a curated record. The transcript has 4 exons.